GCUGGCGGCAGGCCUAACACAUGCAAGUCGAGCGGUAGAGAGGUGCUUGCACCUCUUGAGAGCGGCGGACGGGUGAGUAAUACCUAGGAAUCUGCCUGGUAGUGGGGGAUAACGUUCGGAAACGGACGCUAAUACCGCAUACGUCCUACGGGAGAAAGCAGGGGACCUUCGGGCCUUGCGCUAUCAGAUGAGCCUAGGUCGGAUUAGCUAGUUGGUGAGGUAAUGGCUCACCAAGGCUACGAUCCGUAACUGGUCUGAGAGGAUGAUCAGUCACACUGGAACUGAGACACGGUCCAGACUCCUACGGGAGGCAGCAGUGGGGAAUAUUGGACAAUGGGCGAAAGCCUGAUCCAGCCAUGCCGCGUGUGUGAAGAAGGUCUUCGGAUUGUAAAGCACUUUAAGUUGGGAGGAAGGGCAUUAACCUAAUACGUUAGUGCUUUGACGUUACCGACAGAAUAAGCACCGGCUAACUCUGUGCCAGCAGCCGCGGUAAUACAGAGGGUGCAAGCGUUAACCGGAAUUACUGGGCGUAAAGCGCGCGUAGGUGGUUUGUUAAGUUGAAUGUGAAAUCCCCGGGCUCAACCUGGGAACUGCAUCCAAAACUGGCAAGCUAGAGUAUGGUAGAGGGUAGUGGAAUUUCCUGUGUAGCGGUGAAAUGCGUAGAUAUAGGAAGGAACACCAGUGGCGAAGGCGACUACCUGGACUGAUACUGACACUGAGGUGCGAAAG
RNAcentral lists this ribosomal RNA (729 nucleotides) under uncultured bacterium. RNAcentral's name for it is "bacterial SSU rRNA". It matches the Rfam family "Bacterial small subunit ribosomal RNA", at positions 35 to 759 of the family's 1533-position model. The record is from RNAcentral.